RNAcentral lists this ribosomal RNA (511 nucleotides) under uncultured bacterium. RNAcentral describes it as "partial 16S ribosomal RNA". It matches the Rfam family "Bacterial small subunit ribosomal RNA", at positions 28 to 507 of the family's 1533-position model. The record is from RNAcentral.
GACAAACGCUGGCGGCAUGCCUAACACAUGCAAGUCGAACGGACAGAACAGGGAAGCUUUUCGGAGUGGAACUGGAAAGUUAGUGGCGGAUGGGUGAGUAACGCGUGGACAACCUACCUUGUAAAGGGGAAUAACCUCGAGAAAUCGAAGCUAAUACCCCAUAAUAACCUUGCUUCGCAUGAAGUAAGGAGGAAAGGCGGCCUUAGCGCUGUCGAUACAAGAUGGGUCCGCGUCUGAUUAGCUAGUUGGUGAGGUAAAGGCUCACCAAGGCGACGAUCAGUAGCCGACCUGAGAGGGUGAACGGCCACAUUGGGACUGAGACACGGCCCAAACUCCUACGGGAGGCAGCAGUGGGGAAUCUUCCGCAAUGGGCGAAAGCCUGACGGAGCAAUGCCGCGUGAGUGAAGAAGGCCUUCGGGUUGUAAAACUCUGUCCUUAUCGAAGAGAGAGUGUUGUAGUAACUGACAAUACUAGGACGGUAGAUGAGGAGGAAGCCCCGGCUAACUAUGUG